Molecule: long non-coding RNA, 1941 nt
Organism: Tribolium castaneum (red flour beetle)
Lineage: Eukaryota; Metazoa; Arthropoda; Insecta; Coleoptera; Tenebrionidae
Exons: 3
Source: RefSeq, a predicted model, not a curated record
GUUUAGACGCAGUCGUCGUCAAUUCACUGUUUUUUUUUUUAUAUAAACUCCAAAUUUUAAAAGAGAUUUCUUUAAAUGGUAAUCAUCGAUGAAAGAGAGAGAAAUUGAACCUUUCCUGCCAAGUUUUACGUUUAUUAUUAACAAGCAUUUGGAAAAGUGGAUUGUCUAAAUAAUGUUAUGUACAAAAUUUAUGAGAUUUUGGGAAUUUGUCUAUGCAUUUACAAAAUACGUAGGUACUUGAACCCAAAAUUGGUUCUAAUUUUUAGGAAAGUUGAACCUGUCACUGCUUGGCCGCCAUCUACGUGAACUUUAGCUACUGUUUCAAAUUAUAAAGUUAUUGGGAAUUCACGAUUUUGUUACGUUUUUCAUACGAGAACAUCUUCAAUAUCAUUUUUUAGGAAAUUUAAAAAGACGUUAGGAAAUAUGAAGGGUUCUUGAUGACCAAUUUUUGGGACGAGAUGUUUAACUAAAAAUCGUGAUUGAAAGAAAAGCAUUUUUAGCAUUGAAAAAUGUGAACAUUAAUAUUGGUAGGUAUUCAAUUAUUUUCUUUUUUAAAUAGUAAUCCCAAAAUUUGUACGUUUCCUACGUCCCUGAUUAAAUUUGACGUAAAAUUAUGUCAUUUUAUGCAUUUGACAAAAAUUAUAACCUUGAAAUUAUUUUCGAUAUAAACCUCUGACAUAAGUUACUAACAAAAAUUUUAAUAAAAAAGGAUAGAAAUAUAUGCCUUAUCCACAUAAUACAAAAUUGGCUCAGUUUGACGUUCAGUGUCCCAACUCUCCCAAUAAAGGAACUCUAGACGUAGCCAGUUAGUAAACACCACGUACUGUCUUGGAAACAGGCGUAGUAAACAAUCAAAUAGAGUUCGAUCGUGCAAAAACUAUUUUACAUUUACUAUUGUUACAGCUACCGUCAAAGCCAAAAUGUUAAAAGUGACUUUGUUAUUGAAAAUCAAGUAUGCAGAACGUUUUCUGCAAAUGAGAGUUCCAAAUAGGAAAACGGUGGUGGUAAUAGGAUACAUACCACCAUCAUCACUAUCACCAGGAAAACUAAUAGUAGUGUAGCACAUCUUUUGCGUACAACUGGCUUAUAGUGAUACCAAGGAAUCAAAACGUAGGUAGAGGACGAUACGUGGAAUGGUUGGAAGUGAAAAUGUGCAUCCAGUUGAUGAAGAUCUUUACCAAGUAUUCGAGAAAUAGCUAGGGAAGUUGGUGUAAGUCGCUGGACGGUAUGAAGAACUUUGGAAGAACCUCUUCUUUGUCAGUACCACUUACAAAGCGUUCUGUUAUGUUCUUCUGUCUUUUGGUGUUUAUUUAUUUUGGUUUUCAUUAUUUUGUAGUUCACGAAUUUAUUAAAACUUAUUGUUUCAAUGCACAGUUUGAUAUAGAUAAAUAAAAAUCUUGAUUUUCGAAUGGUCUUUAGUGGAAAAUAAUAGUAAAUUUUAUAAAAGCUGCAGUCAUAAUUCAGUUCUUCACAAAGCCCUUUGCUUGCUUGCUUGCGUUGAUUAACGUAGCGACAAAUUAUUGACUAUUUCCGUAAAAAAUGAAAAUCUGGAAAGUUUUGAUGCAUUAUGCAGCGAAAUUUAAAAAACAGAAACGUGACACGCUUGACAUUGGUCGCGAAAGUUUUUGUUAAGUAACAAAACUUUUCUUAACAAAACGAUUACUUUUAUUCAUUAACUCAACAAUCAAAUUAUAUAGAAGCUCUCAAACAGUAGGGCUGAUUUUAAAUUAUUUAUUUUUGAGAAAACCAUUCAUGUAGGGAAGAAAUGGUAAAUAUAAAGGUUUUCGUUCCCAUUUUGCCUCAUAGACUCACCCUGAAAUUCUGGGGAGACCAUUCCCUAACACGCUGUAUACUUGUCAGUAGCAAUACAAAACGACAGUCAAAAUUCAAAAGAAAGAAUGAACAGUCAAAUAUGUUACCAUAAACAACAUAUUUAGAAAA